RNAcentral lists this ribosomal RNA (933 nucleotides) under Tricholoma sp. RNAcentral describes it as "partial large subunit ribosomal RNA". It matches the Rfam family "Eukaryotic large subunit ribosomal RNA", at positions 46 to 964 of the family's 3401-position model. Lineage: Eukaryota; Fungi; Basidiomycota; Agaricomycetes; Agaricales; Tricholomataceae. The record is from RNAcentral.
AUAAGCGGAGGAAAAGAAACUAACAAGGAUCCCCUAGUAACUGCGAGUGAAGCGGGAAAAGCUCAAAUUUAAAAUCUGAGGGUCCUUGUGGCCUUCCGAGUUGUAAUCUAGAGAAGUGCUAUCCGCGCUGGACCGUGUACAAGUCUCCUGGAACGGAGCGUCAUAGAGGGUGAGAAUCCCGUCUUUGACACGGACUACCAGGGCUUUGUGAUGCGCUCUCAAAGAGUCGAGUUGUUUGGGAAUGCAGCUCUAAAUGGGUGGUAAAUUCCAUCUAAAGCUAAAUAUUGGCGAGAGACCGAUAGCGAACAAGUACCGUGAGGGAAAGAUGAAAAGAACUUUGGAAAGAGAGUUAAACAGUACGUGAAAUUGUUGAAAGGGAAACGCUUGAAGUCAGUCGCGUUGGCCAGGAAUCAACCUUGCUUUUGCUUGGCGUACUUUCUGGUUAACGGGUCAGCAUCAAUUUUGACCGGUGGAUAAAGGUUAGGGGAAUGUGGCAUCCUCGGAUGUGUUAUAGCCUCUGGUCGCAUACAUCGGUUGGGAUUGAGGAACUCAGCACGCCGCAAGGCCGGGUUUUAACCACGUACGUGCUUAGGAUGCUGGCAUAAUGGCUUUAAUCGACCCGUCUUGAAACACGGACCAAGGAGUCUAACAUGCACGCGAGUGUUUGGGUGGAAAACCCGAGCGCGUAAUGAAAGUGAAAAUUGAGAUCCCUGUCGCGGGGAGCAUCGAUGCCUGGACUUGAUCUUUUGUGACGGUUCCACGGUUGAGCGUGUAUGCUGGGACCCGAAAGAUGGUGAACUAUGCCUGAAUAGGGUGAAGCCAGAGGAAACUCUGGUGGAGGCUCGUAGCGAUUCUGACGUGCAAAUCGAUCGUCAAAUUUGGGUAUAGGGGCGAAAGACUAAUCGAACCAUCUAGUAGCUGGUUCCCUGCCGA